This 102-nucleotide small nuclear RNA is filed under the name Cebus imitator (Panamanian white-faced capuchin). Lineage: Eukaryota; Metazoa; Chordata; Mammalia; Primates; Cebidae. The record is from RNAcentral.
GUGCUCACUUUGGCAGCAUGUAUACUGUAAUUGGAAAGAUACAGAGAAGAUUAGCAUGGCCCCUGGGCAAGGAUGACAUGCAAAUUCAUGAAGCAUAUUUUU